This 426-nucleotide ribosomal RNA is filed under the name uncultured Dothideomycetes. RNAcentral's name for it is "LSU rRNA". It matches the Rfam family "Eukaryotic large subunit ribosomal RNA", at positions 103 to 533 of the family's 3401-position model. The record is from RNAcentral. Lineage: Eukaryota; Fungi; Ascomycota; Dothideomycetes.
AACAGCUCAAAUUUGAAAUCUGGCUCUUUCAGAGUCCGAGUUGUAAUUUGCAGAGGGCGCUUUGGCUUUGGCAGCGGUCCAAGUUCCUUGGAACAGGACGUCACAGAGGGUGAGAAUCCCGUACGUGGUCGCUAGCUAUUGCCGUGUAAAGCCCCUUCGACGAGUCGAGUUGUUUGGGAAUGCAGCUCUAAAUGGGAGGUAAAUUUCUUCUAAAGCUAAAUAUUGGCCAGAGACCGAUAGCGCACAAGUAGAGUGAUCGAAAGAUGAAAAGCACUUUGGAAAGAGAGUCAAACAGCACGUGAAAUUGUUGAAAGGGAAGCGCUUGCAGCCAGACAUGCUUGCAGUUGCUCAUCCGGGCUUUUGCCCGGUGCACUCUUCUGUAGGCAGGCCAGCAUCAGUUUGGGCGGUGGGAUAAAGGUCUCUGUC